Molecule: ribosomal RNA, 1010 nt
Filed under: Vibrio sp. j21428
Lineage: Bacteria; Pseudomonadati; Pseudomonadota; Gammaproteobacteria; Vibrionales; Vibrionaceae
Description: bacterial SSU rRNA
Rfam family: Bacterial small subunit ribosomal RNA
Source: RNAcentral
GCCAAUUGCGGCGGCCUACCAUGCAGUCGAGCGGAACGAGUUAUCUGAACCUUCGGGGAACGUUAACGGCGUCGAGCGGCGGACGGGUGAGUAAUGCCUAGGAAAUUGCCCUGAUGUGGGGGAUAACCAUUGGAAACGAUGGCUAAUACCGCAUGAUGCCUACGGGCCAAAGAGGGGGACCUUCGGGCCUCUCGCGUCAGGAUAUGCCUAGGUGGGAUUAGCUAGUUGGUGAGGUAAGGGCUCACCAAGGCGACGAUCCCUAGCUGGUCUGAGAGGAUGAUCAGCCACACUGGAACUGAGACACGGUCCAGACUCCUACGGGAGGCAGCAGUGGGGAAUAUUGCACAAUGGGCGCAAGCCUGAUGCAGCCAUGCCGCGUGUGUGAAGAAGGCCUUCGGGUUGUAAAGCACUUUCAGUCGUGAGGAAGGUUUAUGCGUUAAUAGCGUAUAGAUUUGACGUUAGCGACAGAAGAAGCACCGGCUAACUCCGUGCCAGCAGCCGCGGUAAUACGGAGGGUGCGAGCGUUAAUCGGAAUUACUGGGCGUAAAGCGCAUGCAGGUGGUUUGUUAAGUCAGAUGUGAAAGCCCGGGGCUCAACCUCGGAAUAGCAUUUGAAACUGGCAGACUAGAGUACUGUAGAGGGGGGUAGAAUUUCAGGUGUAGCGGUGAAAUGCGUAGAGAUCUGAAGGAAUACCGGUGGCGAAGGCGGCCCCCUGGACAGAUACUGACACUCAGAUGCGAAAGCGUGGGGAGCAAACAGGAUUAGAUACCCUGGUAGUCCACGCCGUAAACGAUGUCUACUUGGAGGUUGUGGCCUUGAGCCGUGGCUUUCGGAGCUAACGCGUUAAGUAGACCGCCUGGGGAGUACGGUCGCAAGAUUAAAACUCAAAUGAAUUGACGGGGGGCCCGCACAAGCGGUGGAGCAUGUGGUUUAAUUCGAUGCAACGCGAGACCUUUACCUACUCUUGACAUCCAGAAGAACUUUCCAGAGAUGGAAUUGGUGCCUUUCAG